GGAAAAGACAAGUUUUAGGUCUCAGCCCCGGCCCGAAUUCUCUGUGGGCAACUUUCUGUUAUUGAUUACUUGAAUGCAAAAUUUUGUUUACAAAAUUUAAAAAUUCCAGUGUUCUCACCAAAUCUCCUAUACUUUCAUGUGUCCAAAAUAUUAUUUUAGGUGCUAAUUUAUAAUAUGUAUAAUACUAACUUCCAAAUAUGUAAAGUAACUGGCUUGUAGUGGCCAUGGAUUUUCUGUAUAGAAGCGGUAAUGUUCUAAGUAUCCUACCUAAAGCCAUAGAAUUAACAGUAGUUGCUUUUAAGAAGGCACAUUUCUAAUAAUGCUGAAAAGAUAUGUGCUUUUCAAAGAAAAAGUAGCUUUAAAGUGACAAAACAGGACCUUUUUUAUAUCAUUAAUGCCUUUUGUAGUUGUUUGUUUUUAAAUCUCUAGAAUUGAAGAGAUUGCUUUUAUCAAUGACAUGUGUUGUCAGAGUGAUUUGGAAAGCCACCUGGCCUAUUUGGACUUUAAACCCUGCACGUUGGCCUUGUUAACCUAAUGUUUUAAACAAUUAACCAGCCUCAACAUGUAUUAAAAUUGUGUUAUUCAGAAAGUGUAUUUCUCAUUUCUACAGAUUGAAAGACCAAAGUAAUUUAAAGCAUUGAAUUAAAUAUAAGAAAAAAAUAUUUAAAGUGUAGUAAAUACAAAUACAUGCCUUUGGAUAUUAAUUUAGUAUUUGAUAGUAAAAAAAUCAAAACAAACUUCUGAAUGAGUGCUGCUUUUGCCAUUGACCAGGUUAAUAAACUACAACCUUGGGAGUUCCUGUUGUGACGCAGCAGAAGUGAACCCAACUAGUAUCCAUGAGGACGGAGGUUCCAUCCCUGGGAUCGCUCAGUGAAUUAAGGAUGUGGGCAUUGUGGUGAGCUGUGGUAUAGGUUGCAGAUGUGGCUCAGAUCUGGCUGUAGCUAUGGCCAGCAGCUGCAGCUCCUAUUCAGUCCUUAGCCUGGGAACUUCCAUAUGCCUCAGGUUCGACCCUAAAAAGCAAGAAAAUAAUUAAAUAAACUACAACCUUGGUGGUACAGUAUCUAGACUAAAAUUGUUAAAUUUCUUUUCCCUUGGUGGUUUCCCUAUGGGGAUCAUUUAGAAUUUUUUUAGUAUGUGUAGGAACCUGAUUUUGUCUGUUUAUCCAGUUGUUCCAACACCUUCAGAGUGAUCCUCAAUCAUCAAACUUGAGAGGUUUAUUCAGUUUUAUUAGGGAGAAUAUUACUUUCUGUUCAUCAAGAUAUUUUUGUCCAUAUCCAGGUUAGUUGAUUGCAAGAUUCUUUGCAAAACAUUGCUAUUCAGAAAGUUGAUCUAAUUCUGGAAAUGGGAUUAGAGCAAAAGGAGUUGUAUAAUCUUGUAGAAUUUUUUACUCUAUUGCAUAAACUACUUUCCCUCUAGCAGGUACACUGUUCUAGAUGAUCUUGAGUUAACAGUAGCAAGUUUAUAUUUCCUUUGGUUUGAGUCCUUUCUAGUACUAAUCCAUGUAAACCAUCUUUUGGAUUUCAUUUGCUCUUUAAUGCAAGAAGAAAGGCAAUUUCUUUUGUCUGUUACAUGAAAGUCUUUUUUCCAGAAACAACCUAAUGAAGAGUUAUAUCCUUCUAAGUCAUAAUAUUGACCCAUAAUCCUAAAUCUCAAAAUAUCAAACUUUAAUUUUAGAGAAUGAUAGUUCAUAAACUUAUUUCCCUAUUUCUGCUGUUAGAUUGCACACUUUUUUUUUUUUUAAAUGGUUGUGUCUGUGGCAUAUGGAAGUUCCCAGGCCAGGGAUUGAAUCUGAGUUGCAGCUGCAACCUACACCACACCUGUCGCAAUGCUGUAAUAACACACUGCAACAGGCUGGGGAUCAAACCCUAGCCUCCACAAUGAACUGAACCACUGCAGUUGAUUCUUAACCCACUGCACCACAGUGGGAACUCUUGCAUACUCUUAAGAUAAAAUGAUAAAAAUGUUAUAGGCCAGUAAAGAAAAAAAUUGAAAUCUAUUUUUUGCCUGAAAUCCAUUUUUAUACACUAUAUUUUAACUUCCAUGCUAUGUUCAUUAUAUAGAUAACCAUAUUUAAUCUUCACACCAAGACCAUAUUAUAAAUCAAGAUAGGAGCUAAAAGAGGUUAACUUAAAUGCCCAAGGGCACACAGAAAAAUAAGUGAUAUGGAAGCAAAAAUCAUAUAGCUCCCUGCCUCCAGCCUAGCACAAUGCCUGGCAUGUGGUAAAUAUUCCAAAUGUUUAAAUAGAUGAAGCCAGGAUUAGAACCUUAAUCUGUGUUCUUUAUCUUAUUUUAAACAAAGCUAAAGACUUGAAAAGAUGUUUUUGAGUGUAGUAAUAUUGUUAUCACUCUAGAGUCUACAUCUAGGAAGGGAGGAAAAGAGAGGAAGGAACGGGAAAUUAAAUAAAUAAAUUCAAGACUCUCAUGAGCCAGCAGAUAAGAUGACUUCGUGUGUCUAUUGUUUUCUGUUAGUAUUGGUUGAGGACAAAUAUCUUGAUGCUCUCUUACAACUUCCCUUGAGCUGGUUGUGUAUUGAUUAUAUUAGACCAUAUUAAAUCUAAAUGCUGUUGUCUAUGUGCUGCUGCCCACUUAUUAAGGUUCUGACUCCAAUGGAAAAUGUGUAAGAUUUGGCUUUGAGUAAAUAAGGCUUUGCAUCUGUAUGGUGUCAUAUAGUAUACAAAGUUCUACAGUUAAAUCAUCUUACCAGACAGAACCUCUUAAUAUAACUGUGAGACAGGGUAAGGUGCUCUGAACUUCAAAUUUUAUUAAUCAAGGAGUUGAGACUCCAGGCAAUGAUUUAUUACUCUUAGGUGGUAAAGUCAACAAGGAUCUGGAUAUUUUCUAAUUUAAAUUCACUCCUCAAAUCUCUUUUAGGGAAGUAGACUGGUGAUUUGAAAACCAAUACUGAGUUUCAACAUUUAUUUAUUUAUUUAUUUAUUUAUUUAUUUUUAGGGCUGCACCCACAGCAUAUGGAAGUUCCGCGGCUAGGGGUCAAAUCAGAGCUGUAGCUGCAGGCCUAUGCUACAGCGUCAGCAACACCAGAUUUGAGCUGCAUCUAUGACCUACACUGCAGCUCACGGUAAUGCUGGAUCCUUAACCCACUGAGCAAGGCCAGGGAUGAAACCCACAUUCUCAUGGAUACUAAUCACAUUCAUUACCACUGAGCCAUAAUAGAAACACCCUGAAUUAAAUUUAAAAGGUAUGUAUCAUCAGUGUGUACUCAGGGAAUUGCACAUGGGAGAUACUAUAUUUGUCAAAUAUUAUUUAAAUUUGGAUUCUUAUCUAUUACUCUAACUUUUACCUAGUUAUUUCACUCUAUGAAUAGGUUUGUUCAUCUAUAAUAUAGAAAAAUUCACCUUUUUGAACUACUUAGCAUAAUUAAAAGAUAAAAUGAUAAUGCAUGUGAAAUUAAUGUAAAAAAUUAUAAAUAGGAUGAUUCAUCUCUUUUCUUUAAAUUAAUAAACAUAAAUACAUGUAAAAGAUGAUUCACACUGAAUUAUUAUUUAUGAAAAGUAACCAUAUACAAUAAGACUAAGAAGGAUAUUCAUCAUUAAGAUAUGAGCAUUAUAAUAUAUUCAAAAAUAAAAUGAGGGGUUUAAUAUUUGAAAUAAACUUUCAUUGGAUAAAUAAUACAGUAAUGACAUUAAAGGAAUACCUAUCACCUUGGCACUAUUUUCAUUUUUGUGUAUUCCUUUCCAUCUUUUGUUUGUAUGUCUGCUAUUUCCAUACUAUAAUAAAUAUACAAGCCAUUUCUAGAUUUUUUUCAAGUUUCUAUGUUUAGUCUUUUAAAAUAAGUAAAAAUAUGCACCUAUUAGAGAGUAAGUCCUCAAAAAAUGCUAGUUAAAUGUUUUUCCUACAUUUAAUGACAUGAAAAUAUUAAGAUCUUUUUCUUCUAUUAUGUUAACUUUUCUAAUGGUAUUUUGCUAUUGCAUUUCAGAAACAGUCAAAUGUAUUAAAUUUUCAAUAUUCUGUUCAAUUCAGUUGAUAUUUUGUUUAGAUUUUUUUUAUUCUGAGUUUAUGAGUGAUAUUGACCUAUAAUUUUUUUAUUCUUAUAUUCUUUGUUUGAAUUCAGUGUUACACUGGCCAUAUAGAAUGAGUUAGGGCCUAUUCCUCUUUUUCCUAUUGUCUGGAAGAGUUUUAUAAAAUUGGAAUGAACAAUUCCUUGAGCAUUUUAGGGGAUUAUUCUGUAAUAACAGUCUGAGCUUGAUUUUUUUUUUCAUUAGAUAACUACAAUUUCAUUUACUUAAUGGUUAUUUGAACAAAGUUUUUUCAUUUUUUUAUCACUAUAUUUUCUUACCUUUUUAUCACUGUAUUUUCUCACCUUUUUAUCACUAGUAUAUCUGCAGUUCUGUUUCAUUUUAACUCUUUUUUCCCCCUUUUUCUUUGCUUUUCUUUAUCUUUCUCCUCAGAUGUUAUCUAUUACAUAAUUUUACCCAGUGAACUAACAGUUUAGUAUAUCUUUUUUUCUAUUUAAAAAUUUUAUGGCUCUUAACUAUUUUCUUCUUUGCCCUAUUCUGCUGUUCUUUCCUCACUUCAUAAGCAAAGUCUUUUAGCUCAUUUGUAACUUUUCUUUUUUAUUGGGUAAGUAUUUAAAUUGUCCUCCAAAUUCUGCUGUCACAAGUCUCUUGUUUUGAUAUGUUAACAUUUUCAUUACUAUUCAGUUCUAAUUAUUUAUAGUUUAGUCUCCAUAAAUAUUUCUUAUUUCAUCUAUGGAUUAUUUAAAAUUAUUUUUUAAUUCCUCAGUGAGUAAAGAUUUAAAAAAUUCUCUUUUGGUUAUUCUUUUCCAAAUUAAUUUAUUUUUAAUAUAGUUUAUGAUACUGAAUUGUUGAUACUUAUUGAUACUUGGUUUAUUGUCCAAAUGGUCAAUUUUUAUAAAUGGGCUGCAUGAAUAUUCUUGAAAAGAAUGUUUUCUCUAAACUGGGGAAACAGAGUUCAUUUUUAAAAUUAACUUUGUAAACAUUCUUUUUCAAUUAUUCUGCAUAUUUUCUACUCUUUUCCUGUUCGUCCAGUCAGAUAAGUGAGGGAGAAGUGUUGAAAUUCCCCACUAUGGUCCUGGUUUGAGAAAUUUUAUUAUUUUUUUUAUGUAUUUUGAGUAAUUUUAUGCCAUACAAAUACAGCAUUGUUAUAUCAUCUCAAUAAAUUGAACCUUUUAUCUUACAG
This 5157-nucleotide long non-coding RNA is filed under the name Sus scrofa (pig). RNAcentral's name for it is "lncRNA (ENSSSCG00000059615.1)". The record is from RNAcentral. Lineage: Eukaryota; Metazoa; Chordata; Mammalia; Artiodactyla; Suidae.